AGCGAACGCUGGCGGCAGGCUUAACACAUGCAAGUCGAACGGGCACUUCGGUGCUAGUGGCAGACGGGUGAGUAACACGUGGGAACGUACCUUUCGGUUCGGAAUAAUACAGGGAAACUUGUACUAAUACCGGAUACGCCCUUUGGGGGAAAGAUUUAUCGCCGAUUGAUCGGCCCGCGUCUGAUUAGCUAGUUGGUGAGGUAAUGGCUCACCAAGGCGACGAUCAGUAGCUGGUCUGAGAGGAUGAUCAGCCACACUGGGACUGAGACACGGCCCAGACUCCUACGGGAAGCAGCAGUGGGGAAUAUUGGACAAUGGGCGCAAGCCUGAUCCAGCCAUGCCGCGUGAGUGAUGAAGGCCUUAGGGUUGUAAAGCUCUUUUGUCCGGGAAGAUAAUGACUGUACCGGAAGAAUAAGCCCCGGCUAACUUCGUG
Molecule: ribosomal RNA, 433 nt
Filed under: uncultured bacterium
Lineage: Bacteria
Description: partial 16S ribosomal RNA
Rfam family: Bacterial small subunit ribosomal RNA
Source: RNAcentral